UACGUAGGUCCCGAGCGUUGUCCGGAUUUAUUGGGCGUAAAGCGAGCGCAGGUGGUUUAUUAAGUCUGGUGUAAAAGGCAGUGGCUCAACCAUUGUAUGCAUUGGAAGCUGGUAGACUUGAGUGCAGGAGAGGAGAGUGGAAUUCCAUGUGUAGCGGUGAAAUGCGUAGAUAUAUGGAGGAACACCGGUGGCGAAAGCGGCUCUCUGGCCUGUAACUGACACUGAGGCUCGAAAACGUGGGGAGCAAACAGG
Molecule: ribosomal RNA, 252 nt
Filed under: uncultured bacterium
Lineage: Bacteria
Description: partial 16S ribosomal RNA
Rfam family: Bacterial small subunit ribosomal RNA
Source: RNAcentral